Long non-coding RNA from Anguilla anguilla (European eel), 871 nucleotides. RefSeq lists it as uncharacterized. The transcript has 3 exons. The record is from RefSeq and is a predicted model, not a curated record. Lineage: Eukaryota; Metazoa; Chordata; Actinopteri; Anguilliformes; Anguillidae.
CAGGACCCGCAGUCGCAAUAGGAGCUGCAGCCGCAUGCGGAGCUGCAGCCGCAUUAGAAACUGCAGUCACAUUAGGAGCAGCAGUUGCAUGAGGAGUCGUAGUCGCAAUAAGAGCUGCAGCCCCAUUAGGAGCAGCAGUCGCAUGUGGAGUCGCCGUCGCAAUAGGAGCUGCAGCCGCAUGAGUGGCAGUCGCUUUAGGAGCUGCGGCCUCACGAGUAGUCGAAGUCGCAUUAGGAGCCGCCGUCGCAUUAGAAGCUGCAGCCGCAUGCGGAGCCGCAGUCGCAUUAGAAGCUGCGACCGCAUGAGGAGUCGAAGUCAUAAUAGGAGCUGCAGACACAGUAGAAGCUGCAGUCGCAAUAGGAGCUGCGGUCGCAAUAGGAGCUGCGGUCGCAGCAGGAGCAGAAGCAGGGGCAGGACCAGGAGUGGAGACGGGGGAAGCUGGCGAGGCAGAGAACGUCGGCCAAAGCUUGAUGAGCAGCGGAAGGAUCCGGAAGGCUCUGCUCCUGCCCCAGGGUCAUCGUGUGAUCCCCCACAACAGCGACGGUGGCCACGCCCCCAGCGCUCCCCUUGCUCGGGGGGCCCUGUUACCCCCAGCUCUGUUGCCGUAGCGACGCCUGCUCACCUGCCUGACAGCACCACAGAGAGCUGGUUGGGUCCCUGUUCCGAUCGCGGUGAGGACAAGUCCCUCCACAAGGGGGCAGCACUGAAGCAGCGUUGUCAUGACUACAGUGACAAAGGCUUCGGCGUGCACGGUGACCUUUGCCCCUGUGACCAUGGCAACGACCCCUCGGCGGUGGACGACGUGACCUUGCCAGCAGCGAUGCCGUUCCCUCCCCCGCCAGGUGCGCCGCCCGCCGGAAUGGCCACACCC